CAUGCAAGUCGAACGGAUCAAAUUGUAGCAAUACCGUUUUGGUCAGUGGCGCACGGGUGCGUAACACGUGAGUUACAUGCCCUGCAGUGGGGAAUAGCCCGCCGAAAGGCGGAUUAAUACCCCAUGGUCCCGCAAGGGUAAAGGUGGCCGCAAGGCUGCCGCUGCAGGAUUGGCUCGCGGCCUAUCAGCUAGUUGGCGGGGUAACGGCCCACCAAGGCGACGACGGGUACCUGGUCUGAGAGGAUGAUCAGGCACACUGGAACUGAGACACGGUCCAGACACCUACGGGUGGCAGCAGUCGAGAAUAAUUCACAAUGGGGGAAACCCUGAUGGUGCAACGCCGCGUGGAGGAUGAAGGUCUUCGGAUUGUAAACUCCUGUCAUUGGAGAGUAAGACCUGGCGGUCAAUAGCCGACAGGGUUGAUAGUAUCCAAAGAGGAAGGGACGGCUAACUUCGUGCCAGCAGCCGCGGUAAUACGAAGGUCCCAAGCGUUGUUCGGAAUCACUGGGCGUAAAGGGAGCGUAGGCGGCGUGGUAAGUCAGAUGUGAAAUCCCGGGGCUCAACCCCGGAACUGCAUCCGAUACUGCCGUGCUUGAGGGUUGGAGAGGUAGCUGGAAUUAUCGGUGUAGCAGUGAAAUGCGUGGAUAUCGAUAGGAACACUCGUGGC
This 667-nucleotide ribosomal RNA is filed under the name uncultured bacterium. Its description in RNAcentral is "bacterial SSU rRNA". It matches the Rfam family "Bacterial small subunit ribosomal RNA", at positions 54 to 716 of the family's 1533-position model. The record is from RNAcentral.